ACCCGGAGCUCCGCGGCCGCCCAGCGCCCGUCCCCGCGCCGCACUCCCCGGCACUCCCCGGCGCUCCCCGCGCCGCGCGCCCCGCACCGGCUGGAGGCCCCGGCCCCCCGGCGUUCCCUCUCCGCGCACCUCCCGGCCCGCGCUAGCAGGUAGCAGGCAAGAGUGUGGUUAUCGUUGGACCAGGAUUCAGGAUCUGACUGAGUAGCUGACUCUUAAUCCAGUUUGUGUUGAUCACCAGGAGGAUCUGGACCUCAGUAUUACCACAUCUAGAGCUAUAAUCACAUCCCUGUUAAGCCUUCCUGAGAUCACACCAAAUGUCCUUGAUGGGAAUUGUAAACAACCCUUACUUCUGGUUUCUAAUGAUAUUCCAGGAAAGGAGCCUAACUAGAGUCAGUGAUAUGCCAACUCCACCUUUGCCUUCCACCAUGUUUGGAAGCUCCCUGAGGCCUCACCAGGAGCAGAUGCUCGUCCCAUGCUUCCUAUAAGCCUGCAGAACUGUGAGCCAUAAUAAACUGUGAAUUAUAAAUUGCCUUUAUAGCAAUGCAAAUGGACCAGUACAGAUGGGAUGCUGGGAAGACAGUUGUUUCCACCUUCAGUAAA
This 600-nucleotide long non-coding RNA is filed under the name Homo sapiens (human). RNAcentral describes it as "non-protein coding RASSF8-AS1:37". Lineage: Eukaryota; Metazoa; Chordata; Mammalia; Primates; Hominidae. The record is from RNAcentral.